Molecule: ribosomal RNA, 345 nt
Filed under: uncultured Comamonadaceae bacterium
Lineage: Bacteria; Pseudomonadati; Pseudomonadota; Betaproteobacteria; Burkholderiales; Comamonadaceae
Description: bacterial SSU rRNA
Rfam family: Bacterial small subunit ribosomal RNA
Source: RNAcentral
CUCGGAGUUUGAUCCUGGCUCAGAUUGAACGCUGGCGGAAUGCUUUACACAUGCAAGUCGAACGGUAGAGGGGGCAACCCCUUGAGAGUGGCGAACGGGUGAGUAAUAUAUCGGAACGUGCCCAGUCGUGGGGGAUAACGUAGUGAAAUUACGCUAAUACCGCAUACGAUCUACGGAUGAAAGCGGGGGACUCGCAAGAGCCUCGCGCGAUUGGAGCGGCCGAUAUCAGAUUAGGUAGUUGGUGGGGUAAAGGCUCACCAAGCCAACGAUCUGUAGCUGGUCUGAGAGGACGACCAGCCACACUGGAACUGAGACACGGGUCCAGACUCCGUACGGGAGGCAGCA